Leopardus geoffroyi (Geoffroy's cat) is the source of this 2580-nucleotide long non-coding RNA. RefSeq lists it as uncharacterized. The transcript has 2 exons. The record is from RefSeq and is a predicted model, not a curated record. NCBI's taxonomy places the organism in Eukaryota, Metazoa, Chordata, Mammalia, Carnivora, Felidae.
CGGGGCACAUCCUUCGUAGGUGCCACCUGGGGGACACAGCCUCACAGCACAGCUGUGGACACAGCUGCCCCCAACCCGUGAGCACACACCUCACCAGGCUCCCAGCAGCCAAGGACCCACGUGGAGGCCCGGCCUCUCCCGGCCCUGAAAGCAGACGGAAAGAGACCAGGGUCUUUCGGGAGAACCCCCGGGGGCCCGGCAGAGUCCAGGAGGGGCUUCCAGAACCAGGGGCCGCUGGCUGAGCGCCUGGCCCAGCACCUCUAGCGGCCCCGCCCGAGAGCCCCGAGUCCUGGGCCGUGUUGCACAAGUGUGGCCCGAGCCUGGGAACCCAAGGGGGCCUCGCGGCCGGGCCGGCGGGCGGAGGAUGUUUGCACAGUGAGUCAGCGCAGAUGUGGGGCUCUCAUUACACACUCGUCCACGAAGGCAGGAGACCAGGCCUCGCGACGGCCAACGCCUCUGCUCCCUCCCGCCAGAGGGAGGCCCCGGGAGGGGGCAGGGAGGGCCCGCUGCAGACAAAGGCCGAACUGCACCGCCCGUGGCCGUGGCCCAGGGCCAGUCUGAAUUAGUGAGCAUCUGAAAUGAAGAAAGUUGUGUUCUGUUCUAAGAACCCAAGUCUGUUUGAACAGUCGGCCGCAGAUUAGGGCCCGAGGAUUACCGCCAGCCUGGCGUCUUGCGCGCCUGCCUUGAGGAGCAGAUAUAAAUAACUCGCUUUCAGAACGGGGACGGUGCGGCAGGCGAAGGUCACAAUUAAAGGGACCCGAAAGUCAGCCUCCUGGUGCCGGGCACCCUGUGAUCUCGGGGUCAUCGGGCGGCUUUGUGGUCAAGACAAGCGCAGGGCGUGAGCGGAGGCCGGGGCUCGAGCGGCUCGAGCCCGGUCGAUCGGGCACAUCACUCGGGAGCUUCAGAAACGCGUCGCCAACAGCCCUCCCGCUCCGGCUGCACCGUUUUACGAACAGGAAAAAAAAAAAAAAAAAAACACUCAAAUUCUCCUGUGGCUAAUUCAUUCCAGAAGGCACCAGACUGAAUAUCGCUACUGUAAAUAGAUUUCUUCAUUAUCCUGGGGCAUUUUUUGGCCAAAAGACCAAGGAAAAAACCAGGCAAGAGUCAGUAAGUGUCUGGGCUCCCGGCAGGCCCAGCAGGGGUGUGGGAGGGAGGCCCAGGGAGGCCGGGGCCGCGGCGUUCCCACCGUGGACGUGCACCUGGUCCAGUCAGGUGCGCCUGCUCGCCGGGCUCGGCCGGGGAGCACAAGGAGGGGUGCGUUCCAACGCCCCGGAGGGCCACCCUGGGUGGCGGUUCACGAUCCACGCAGGAUUUAUUUUAUGGAGGUGACCAACGAUGACACGGAGAAAUCCAUGACACCGAAAAAGAGUGCGUUACUUAGAGUUUUCGAGAGGAGAGGCCACACCGCCCAGGACACGUGGCAAAGCACCAGACUCUGUCUCAGGCCGGAAGGACCGGGACAGCGCGGCCCAGAGCCUGCGCCGUGGUUUCUCCGGGAAGGAACGGGCAAGGCCCAGGGUACAAGUCACAGCGAAUGCUCAGCACUGGCGUGUCAGAGUGAUUCCAGCGGGCUCUGGGCCACAGCGGUGUCCCUAGCCAUCUGGUCCCUGGCCCGGGCGACUUCGGGCAGGGGGAGCGCUGGCCUGUGUGUGAGAGCUGGCGAGGGAGGUGGACGCGGCUGUGGGCUCUAGACUGACUGCUUCGUAAAUGAAAGGCGUGUUUGCAAGGGAGACGUCUGCUGCCUCCGGGAAUUAGCUGCCCCCCCCCCCCCCACCCAGGGAGGGACAGUCUCUCCCCAGCCGGCAAGGCCCCCAGAGAUGUGGAGGUGUCGUAAGAUAGGGAAAAUAAAACACGUAACGAACGCAGGCAGGUGGACGCUUCUCGGGUCAGAGCGCUCUGCACGGCGAGUCCUGCCCUGCCUCGAGCCCUGGGGCCCCGGGGAGCCUCCCCCAACCCCGACAUUCCCCGGGGCCUGGUCUUGGGUGCUCAUCUGCCUUCACUGCCGGGCCUCGGGUGAUCUUGGGGGGCACGCACGGGCUGGGGUCCCCAUCCCCACCCGCCCCCCGAGUCCGCACCUGCCUGACCUCUCUCUGACCCCGUCCGUGCCCCGGACCUCUUCAUCCGUGUCAUUUCUCCUGCCGCGUCUGUCUCUGGCAACGGGCGCCCUGUCCUAUCCAGGGCCCAGGCCAGAGCCGGGGCCCCACCCCGUCUCUGCCGCCCUCCUGCCCAUUCGGGGCCCCCGUCGGCCCUCUUAGGUCGACCGAUCGCUUGUUGGUGAGGGUGGCGGCAGAGGGCAGCGAGGGGAGCAGCCUGCUGCUCCUCGACACAACCGACCCUGAACCCCGACUCGCCCGGAGGUUGACCGCAGUCGGGAGCAGACCCCGAGCGAGGCUCCUUGCGGACCCGGGCAGCCAGCGGUAAUCCAUGUCGAACCCAGUGCCGGGCAGCACCCGUCCUGGCCGUCUGGCUCUCCUCGUGCAGGGCCGGGGCUUUGCCCCCCACACCCCACGCUUUACGAACAUUCUCGAACGUGAUUUCCAAUGGCGGGGGGAGUCCACAGAAUAAGACGCUACCACUGGC